This 623-nucleotide ribosomal RNA is filed under the name Lactobacillus sp. RNAcentral's name for it is "bacterial SSU rRNA". It matches the Rfam family "Bacterial small subunit ribosomal RNA", at positions 62 to 656 of the family's 1533-position model. The record is from RNAcentral. Lineage: Bacteria; Bacillati; Bacillota; Bacilli; Lactobacillales; Lactobacillaceae.
UCGACGAACUCUGGUAUUGAUUGGUGCUUGCAUCAUGAUUUACAUUUGAGUGAGUGGCGAACUGGUGAGUAACACGUGGGAAACCUGCCCAGAAGCGGGGGAUAACACCUGGAAACAGAUGCUAAUACCGCAUAACAACUUGGACCGCAUGGUCCGAGUUUGAAAGAUGGCUUCGGCUAUCACUUUUGGAUGGUCCCGCGGCGUAUUAACUAGAUGGUGGGGUAACGGCUCACCAUGGCAAUGAUACGUAGCCGACCUGAGAGGGUAAUCGGCCACAUUGGGACUGAGACACGGCCCAAACUCCUACGGGAGGCAGCAGUAGGGAAUCUUCCACAAUGGACCAAAGUCUGAUGGAGCAACGCCGCGUGAGUGAAGAAGGGUUUCGGCUCGUAAAACUCUGUUGUUAAAGAAGAACAUAUCUGAGAGUAACUGUUCAGGUAUUGACGGUAUUUAACCAGAAAGCCACGGCUAACUACGUGCCAACAGCCGCGGUAAUACGUACGUGGCAAGCGUUGUCCGGAUUUAUUGGGCGUAAGCGAGCGCAAGCGGUUUUUUAAGUCUGAUGUGAAAGCCUUCGGCUCACCGACAGUGCAUCCGAACUGGGAAACUUGAUGCAGACAGGA